This 508-nucleotide ribosomal RNA is filed under the name uncultured bacterium. Its description in RNAcentral is "partial 16S ribosomal RNA". It matches the Rfam family "Bacterial small subunit ribosomal RNA", at positions 28 to 507 of the family's 1533-position model. The record is from RNAcentral.
GACGAACGCUGGCGGCGUGCCUAAUACAUGCAAGUCGAACGCUCCUUUCCUCCCGAGUGCUUGCUCUCAAUUGGAAAGAGGAGUGGCGGACGGGUGAGUAACACGUGCGUAACCUAUCCAUUAGAGGGGGAUAACCGUUGGAAAUAGGUGCUAAUAUCUCAUAACAGUUUAUGCAGCAUGGCAUAAGAGUGAUGGGCGCUCUCGGGUGUCGCUGAUGGAUGGACCCGCGGUGCAUUAGCUAGUUGGUGAGGUAACGGCUCACCAAGGCAACGAUGCAUAGCCGACCUGAGAGGGUGAUCGGCCACACUGGGACUGAGACACGGCCCAGACUCCUACGGGAGGCAGCAGUAGGGAAUCUUCGGCAAUGGACGAAAGUCUGACCGAGCAACGCCGCGUGAGUGAAGAAGGUCUUCGGAUCGUAAAACUCUGUUGUUAGAGAAGAACAAGGACGUAAGUAACUGAACGUCCCCUGACGGUAUCUAACCAGAAAGCCACGGCUAACUACGUG